Oreochromis aureus is the source of this 2279-nucleotide long non-coding RNA. RefSeq lists it as uncharacterized. The record is from RefSeq and is a predicted model, not a curated record. Lineage: Eukaryota; Metazoa; Chordata; Actinopteri; Cichliformes; Cichlidae. The transcript is spliced from 4 exons.
AAACAAUCUUGGAAAAUAAUUACAUAAAAAAAGAUUAAAUAUAAAAUAAUUUAUAGAAUAUUAUUGCUUGGUAACUGAACAUCAUCACAACACACAUCUGAAUCUUAUUGUUCAGCUUUUUUGUUUGUUUGUUUUAUUAACAUACAAUUGCAGGAAAAGUGUUGAUAACUGUUCUGAUAAUUAGUUGUUGUAUUGUGUACCCAAUCACACACUAUCUAUAUAUAGAGGUGAUAUUAAUAUAUUUAUAGUACCAUGAUAAGCAGACAUGAUAAUUAUGAAAAAUACAAGGACCAUUCACAGUCAGUUAUACUUGAUUUAAGUGUCUAUCUUGUUGUAGGCUAUAAAUAUAAUGAAUGAUACUUAAACAUAAAUACAAGUGAUUCAGUUUUUUUCAAUAAAUUAUUUUGUCAAACAUUUUUUUUUAAAUUCCGUACACCUGGGAGUUUUUGUCUUAUGUUAAUGUGCUUUGGUGCUUUCGAGUUCGCUCAUGGAUUCACUCAUGCUAUUUCGUAUUUCCUGUACGUUUGUCCUCUAAGGUGAAUGAUGUCAUUUCACUGAGUAAAUGUUCUGGGUUGCAUUGCAUUGACUGAUAAUAAUAUUUGUUCAUCACCUGAUCUAACCUGAUUUUGAGUUCCUACGUUCCUCCUUAUUGCAUUAUGAAAAGUGAUGUAUAAAUAUGUAUGUAAUCAUUUUUCGAAGAACUUACGUUAACACAGGAAUCUGUCCCAAUCCAUCUAACCUUUGUCACACUGCUUUGGAGUUUAAUGAACAACAUAUGAUGAAGUGUUUAGCAAACUGGGAAUUCAGUGAAACAAACAGAGCCCUUCUUUAAGUCUUUCAGGGUUUCUCAUGUUCAGACUGACUGCCUUAGUCAGCCUCAAACAGGCUGAAUAGCAGAGAAAGUGGCAGGGUGAUUAAGCUUGUGGUUAAAAAGUGAUGUGGGAAAGGAAACAGACUGGGCCAUCACAAACACAGUGAAGCAGCAUCUAUCUGGCCAGAUUCAUCUAAAAACAUCACAGUUUCAGUCAGUCCCUCUGGUCCAGUACCAGAGAACAGAUGGAGACCAGGAGAAUUUUAUUGGGACUGGAACCAGUUUAAAUAUUAACUUCUCCAGAGACAGGCGAAAAUAAGGCUCAAAAAGAGAUCGGGGUUGGACAUUCUAACCUGACUCACCUUGAUGUUCAGUGUUGUGAAACACAUUGUGGAUUUUACAGUGGAGUCCUUCCUUGGGUCCUUGCUGGUGUGUUUUUCAGUGUCAGUGUGAUCUGUGCAGCUUUCCUUUGGAAAGUACGAAAGAAUGUGAAGCCACAAGAAGAGGACAGAACUUACAUGUCACUGAAUCAUAGAAAUGUCGGCUCUUCAGAGUAUGAUGUCAUUAACACAGCUCCAAGGUGACCUUCACUGAUUCUUCAGGAUCUAUCUAAUUUUGUUUUACUUUGUGUUUCUAAAUAAAUAAUUAUCAGUCACACUUCUCUUUAUUAAAAUGCAUUUAAUAGCCACUGAGCACUUAUAUAUCAGUUUCUUAAAGGGUGCUGGAGUUGCUCAGUUUAGUGGGAUUGCACAAAACCUGUAGAAAAUUCUUCCUAGAGUUUUGAUACUGACUAUAAUCCUGUUUUCUGAUAAUGUAAAAGGUUAUAGUGUUUUUCUUUGUUUUGUUUUUUGCAUUCGAUGUGAAAAAGCGGGGGCAGGGACAUGUUUACCACUAGGUCACGUAAGCUUUUAACAGCACUGUUCAAGAAAUAGAGACAUUAAUGAUCUACACAGCUGCUCUUUUCUAUGUUUAAGAGAAAGACCUUGAAUAGUUAAGAUGCCUUGUGAGACCUGCCACAUAUUAGUGUCCUGUACAUUUGCUCUUUUUUCAGUAUUUAUGCUUCUCACAUAUGAUUGCUUCAUUAUUUUCUCCUCAACCAAGUUUAUUGCACUACACCUGAGUGCCAUUCAUGCACAGCUGAACCUUGUACCACCAAUAUUACCACAACAAAUUGAACAAAUUGAACUCAACAGUUCAAUUUUUUAUUUUAUACCAUGUUAAGUGUUUCCCAUAGGUAACCACGCAUAGUAGUAUGUUUAGUAAAUGCAUUAAUUAAUUAUAUAUAUCGACAGAAUAAAAGAGGAAAUAAAACUUUUAGCUGGUGUGUGUUUGUCUGUGAAUUCAACUGAAAAAGUUCUUAUUUCCCCUUGUAGAUAUUGUAAUGCCUGAAUUCGUCAGAGUGCAUUAAACAGUUCUUGAUAUGGACACUAGUUGCUGUCACAUUGUCUCUUUUGCAACUAAGGUUUCA